UAUAUAUUAGGAAACGAUGAAAUGCGCUUGUUGUCUGGGCACUUUAGGCGCGUGGAGUUAGUGGUGCAACCGGCCGAGUACAUU
This 84-nucleotide non-coding RNA is filed under the name Paenibacillus dendritiformis. RNAcentral's name for it is "c-di-GMP-II sequence". It matches the Rfam family "Cyclic di-GMP-II riboswitch aptamer". Lineage: Bacteria; Bacillati; Bacillota; Bacilli; Caryophanales; Paenibacillaceae. RNAcentral also lists the same sequence under 1 other name. The record is from RNAcentral.